AUUAGGCUCUGUGGGAGCCAAGACUGCCUUGUCUGGCAGCCUCAGGACUUUCAACGGAAUCCUACAAAAGAUCUGGCUAAGAGCUUGGCCAAAGACUAACAAAUACAUCCUGGAUAAAAUUAAAUUUUUGUCCUUGUGAUGCCUCAUCAGAGGGGUUAAAAACAUCAGUUCGGGUCUAUGAUCUAUGCACAAUUGAGAACAUCUACUGAAAGCAAUAAAUGCCUAAUGCCCCAGGCUAGAAUUGGUGAGUAUUUUCUCUUCAUGUGAUAUAAUAGAUAAAAUUAACAAAACAAGGCCGGGUGCAGUGGCUCAUGCCAGUAAUCCCAGCACUUUGGGAGGCUGAGGCAGGAGGAUCGCUCGAGCUCAGGAGUUGGAGACAAGCCUGGGCAACAUGGCAAAAACCCAUCUCCACAAAACAUUCAAAAAAUUAGCUAGACGUAGUGGCGCGUUCAUGUAGUCCCAGCUACUCGGGAGGCUGAGGUGGGAGAAUCACGUGAACCCCAGAGGUUGCAGUGAGCCA
Molecule: long non-coding RNA, 520 nt
Filed under: Pan troglodytes (chimpanzee)
Lineage: Eukaryota; Metazoa; Chordata; Mammalia; Primates; Hominidae
Description: long non-coding RNA NONPTRT003553
Source: RNAcentral